CCUACGGGAGGCAGCAGUGAGGAAUAUUGGUCAAUGGACGAGAGUCUGAACCAGCCAAGUAGCGUGAAGGAUGACUGCCCUCUGGGUUGUAAACUUCUUUUAUAUGGGAAUAAAACGUUCCACGUGUGGGAUUUUGUAUGUACCAUAUGAAUACGGAUCGGCUAACUCCGUGCCAGCAGCCGCGGUAAUACGGAGGAUCCGAGCGUUAUCCGGAUUUAUUGGGUUUAAAGGGGGCGUAGGUGGAUUGUUAAGUCAGUUGUGAAAGUUUGCGGCUCAACCGUAAAAUUGCAGUUGAAACUGGCAGUCUUGAGUACAGUAGAGGUGGGCGGAAUUCGUGGUGUAGCGGUGAAAUGCUUAGAUAUCACGAAGAACUCCGAUUGCGAAGGCAGUUCACUGGACUGCAACUGACACUGAGGCUCGAAAGUGUGGGUAUCAAACAGGAUUAGAUACCCUUGUAGUC
This 460-nucleotide ribosomal RNA is filed under the name uncultured bacterium. Its description in RNAcentral is "partial 16S ribosomal RNA". It matches the Rfam family "Bacterial small subunit ribosomal RNA", at positions 338 to 795 of the family's 1533-position model. The record is from RNAcentral.